AGAGUUUGAUCAUGGCUCAGGACGAACGCUGGCGGCGUGCUUAACACAUGCAAGUCGAACGAGACCCAUCUUUCGGGGGUACACGAGCGGCGAACGGGUGAGUAACACGUGGGUGACCUGCCCUCAGCUCUGGGAUAAGCCCGGGAAACUGGGUCUAAUACUGGAUAUGACUCCAUGACGCAUGUUGUGGGGUGGAAAGCCUUGUGCGGCUGGGGAUGGGCCCGCGGCCUAUCAGCUUGUUGGUGGGGUAAUGGCCUACCAAGGCGACGAUCCGUAGCUGGUCUGAGAGGACGAUCAGCCACACUGGGACUGAGACACGGCCCAGACUCCUACGGGAGGCAGCAGUGGGGAAUCUUGCGCAAUGGGCGAAAGCCUGACGCAGCGACGCCGCGUGCGGGAAGAAGGCCUUCGGGUUGUAAACCGCUUUCAGGAGGGACGAAGCCACUCGGGUUAAUAGCCCAGAGGGUGACGGUACCUCCAGAAGAAGCCCCGGCUAACUACGUGCCAGCAGCGGCGGUAAUAC
This 523-nucleotide ribosomal RNA is filed under the name uncultured bacterium. Its description in RNAcentral is "bacterial SSU rRNA". It matches the Rfam family "Bacterial small subunit ribosomal RNA", at positions 8 to 526 of the family's 1533-position model. The record is from RNAcentral.